AUAUGUGGCCAAAUUUCUUGCCAAAGACUGGUCUCAUCAGACCUCAGAAGCUAAGCAGGGCUGAUCCUGGUGAGUGUCUGGAUGGGAGACAGCUGGGAAUGCCAGGUGUCACACUGG
Molecule: ribosomal RNA, 117 nt
Filed under: Periophthalmus magnuspinnatus
Lineage: Eukaryota; Metazoa; Chordata; Actinopteri; Gobiiformes; Gobiidae
Source: RNAcentral